AGAGUUUGAUCCUGGCUCAGAUUGAACGCUGGCGGCAUGCUUUACACAUGCAAGUCGAACGGUAACAGGCCGCAAGGUGCUGACGAGUGGCGAACGGGUGAGUAAUGUAUCGGAACGUGCCCAGUCGUGGGGGAUAACGCAGCGAAAGCUGCGCUAAUACCGCAUACGAUCUAUGGAUGAAAGCGGGGGACCGUAAGGCCUCGCGCGAUUGGAGCGGCCGAUAUCAGAUUAGGUAGUUGGUGGGGUAAAGGCUCACCAAGCCAACGAUCUGUAGCUGGUCUGAGAGGACGACCAGCCACACUGGGACUGAGACACGGCCCAGAUUCCUACGGGAGGCAGCAGUGGGGAAUUUUGGACAAUGGGCGCAAGCCUGAUCCAGCAAUGCCGCGUGCAGGAAGAAGGCCUUCGGGUUGUAAACUGCUUUUGUACGGAACGAAACGGUCCUGGUUAAUACCUGGGGCUAAUGACGGUACCGUAAGAAUAGCCC
RNAcentral lists this ribosomal RNA (487 nucleotides) under uncultured Hydrogenophaga sp. RNAcentral describes it as "bacterial SSU rRNA". It matches the Rfam family "Bacterial small subunit ribosomal RNA", at positions 8 to 493 of the family's 1533-position model. The record is from RNAcentral. Lineage: Bacteria; Pseudomonadati; Pseudomonadota; Betaproteobacteria; Burkholderiales; Comamonadaceae.